This 31-nucleotide non-coding RNA is filed under the name Rattus norvegicus (Norway rat). The record is from RNAcentral. Lineage: Eukaryota; Metazoa; Chordata; Mammalia; Rodentia; Muridae.
UGGGGCUUGUUGAUGUUCUGUCUCUCGCAGU